UACGUAUGUCGCGAGCGUUAUCCGGAAUUAUUGGGCAUAAAGGGCAUCUAGGCGGCCGGAUAAGUCUGGGGUGAAAACUUGCGGCUCAACCGCAAGCCUGCCCUGGAAACUAUGCGGCUAGAGUACUGGAGAGGUGGACGGAACUGCACGAGUAGAGGUGAAAUUCGUAGAUAUGUGCAGGAAUGCCGAUGAUGAAGAUAGUUCACUGGACGGUAACUGACGCUGAAGUGCGAAAGCCGGGGGAGCAAACAGG
RNAcentral lists this ribosomal RNA (253 nucleotides) under uncultured bacterium. Its description in RNAcentral is "partial 16S ribosomal RNA". It matches the Rfam family "Bacterial small subunit ribosomal RNA", at positions 524 to 776 of the family's 1533-position model. The record is from RNAcentral.